AGGCAGAGGAUAGCGGCUAAAAAAUUCCGGCCGUUUAUCUAAUCGCCACAAAUAUCAGAAAUCGCAGCAAUUGACAUCAUGUGCCGCAGAGUCUGAUUGAUUAGCGGCUAUUUCUUGAACAACCGCCACUAAUCAAGACGUUGAUCCUAUUAUUAUUAUUAUUAAAACACUAACACCAUCAUAUAUACUACUCCCCCUUUGAAAAACCCUCUUUCGUUAUACACUCCCCACCAGCCCUAACCCUCAGCUCUGACUCCCUAUGCCCUCCAGCCGUCGAAGCACUUGCCUCUGGACGCUCUCACCUCACGCAGCCCUCGCCUGUAGCAGCUCUCGCCGUCGAAGGUCUGCUUAUCUCCUCGUGUCGCUAGAAGGCCGUUUCGGAGUUGCUGCUCGCGAUGCCGUCUCUGCCCUCUUCGUGAAGCCCGGACCUGUCCUCGUCGUCAUCGUCGGUUCAGAUCUUCUGCUGGCUCGCCUUCUCAUCUCCAAUAGUGAGGGAAUUGAGAUUUAUUCAAAAGGGCAGUGAAACAUAUGUUGAUAAAUGGAAGGCAGUUUCUAUACCAGUGCUACACUUCAGGCAACCUCUCUUGGUAGCAGUUUCAUUUAAAUAUGCCUUGAAUAAGUACCCUGUUUAUGAAUAAUGUAGAUGGUGCCAGGCGGUCCAGCUAAUAAACAUUUGGAGCUAGACGAUGUGCUUGUUCGUAUCAAUGAAAAAGCAUUACAAGAACAAACCUUUGCAACUUCUAAUCUUCCAAACUGUAUUGUGCAAAGAAAUACUAUGUAUUUGACAAGCAUAUCACCAAAAUUGGGCUAAAAGAAAUACACUGAAUAAUCCCUUUCACUCAACACCAAAUUCAGAUAAAUCCCGCACAUAAGUGACACAGUACCAACCUGUACCAGCUCUGGAUGUAACUACUCUGGAAUUGCCAACAUUUGUAACAAGAAUUCGGUCGCCCAACACCAUAGCUGUUGAUGCAGUGGACCCAGCAUCCCUCUGAUGGCCAUUUUCCUUAUUGAGAUACCAAAUUGGCAGGAUAUUUGCCUACUAUAUCUUUGGAUAAAUCGUAAGAAAAUGGAAAAAGAAGAAUACCGGUAGAGGUACUGAUGGUAGUUAAGUUGCAAAUGGUGUCACAGAGUUAUUGCUGAGGCUGGCUAUGGUUAACCAAGAAUUCAAUUGGUCUUGAGGGGUCAGAAGCAUCAUCCAGAGGCCUAGGAACGGCAUCCAAUAUAAUGUGAUAUAUAAAUAAUAUAAUGUGAAAAAUUAAUAUUAAUUAUGUACCUAUUAAAAACAGAGAAUGGUGGCCUGGCCUGGUGGUUGAUUGAGAAGUCAAUCCCUAAUGCACGAGAAACUGGCAAAUUAUGUCCCAAGAUUAGGGAUUUCGCGCACCGUGGAGGAGGAAGCAGGGGUUUCGCGCACUGUGGAGGAGAGCCGAAAGGUCGACGCCGGGAAGAGACAGACGGAUGGCAGCCGCGCGACUCCACAACCCCAUAGAGGCGCAGGGUGGAUCAGAGAUUAGGGAUUUCGCGCACCCUGGAGGAGGGAGGGAGUAGGGGUUUCACGCUGUGGAGGAGAGGCGAAAGGUCGACACCGGAGAGAGGAGGAUAGCUGGGCAGCAGUGGCGCACAGUGGAGCAGCACCAUCAGGGCUUCGCGCGCUACCAAUCUCAGUUCGCCGCUUUCUACAGCUUUAGGGGAAUUAUUAGUUAUAAGAUAAAAGAGAGAUAGGAUAAAUGAUGAUAAAGAUCCUGAUUAGCGGCACAUGAAAAUCAAUUGCUGGUAUCCAUGAAAUUUGCGGCGGUUAGGUAAAAGAGAACCGGGUGUUAGCUGCGCUAAAACACCAGCCCCUUUUCCAGAGCGCUGCUGUUCGAGGGAGCUGCUGCCGUUCGUC
Molecule: non-coding RNA, 1885 nt
Organism: Arachis ipaensis
Lineage: Eukaryota; Viridiplantae; Streptophyta; Magnoliopsida; Fabales; Fabaceae
Source: RefSeq, a predicted model, not a curated record